This 263-nucleotide ribosomal RNA is filed under the name Stenoponia americana. RNAcentral's name for it is "partial 12S ribosomal RNA". The record is from RNAcentral. Lineage: Eukaryota; Metazoa; Arthropoda; Insecta; Siphonaptera; Ctenophthalmidae.
UAGUAAUAGUUAUAUUCUUUAAACUUAAAAAAUUUGGCGGUAUUUUAAUCUUUUCAGAGGAACCUGUCCUGUAAUCGAUAUUCCACGUUAAAUUUUACUAAAUUAUUUGUAUAUCGUUGUCGUAAGAAUUAAUUUUCUAAAAUUAAUAUUUUAAUAGAUGUCAAAUCAAGGUGCAGUUAAUAAUUUAGUAGAGAUGGGUUACAAUAAAAUUAUUUAGAAUUUUAGUGAAGGAGGAUUUGGAUGUAAAUAAUUUUUAUAAAAAA